AAAAGUCGUAACAAGGUCUCCGUAGGUGAACCUGCGGAGGGAUCAUUACACAAAUAUGAAGGCGGGCUGGAACCUCUCGGGGUUACAGCCUUGCUGAAUUAUUCACCCUUGUCUUUUGCGUACUUCUUGUUUCCUUGGUGGGUUCGCCCACCACUAGGACAAACAUAAACCUUUUGUAAUUGCAAUCAGCGUCAGUAACAAAUUAAUAAUUACAACUUUCAACAACGGAUCUCUUGGUUCUGGCAUCGAUGAAGAACGCAGCGAAAUGCGAUAAGUAGUGUGAAUUGCAGAAUUCAGUGAAUCAUCGAAUCUUUGAACGCACAUUGCGCCCUUUGGUAUUCCAAAGGGCAUGCCUGUUCGAGCGUCAUUUGUACCCUCAAGCUUUGCUUGGUGUUGGGCGUCUUGUCUCUAGCUUUGCUGGAGACUCGCCUUAAAGUAAUUGGCAGCCGGCCUACUGGUUUCGGAGCGCAGCACAAGUCGCACUCUCUAUCAGCAAAGGUCUAGCAUCCAUUAAGCCUUUUUUCAACUUUUGACCUCGGAUCAGGUAGGGAUACCCGCUGAACUU
Molecule: ribosomal RNA, 565 nt
Filed under: Diaporthe helianthi
Lineage: Eukaryota; Fungi; Ascomycota; Sordariomycetes; Diaporthales; Diaporthaceae
Description: eukaryotic LSU rRNA
Rfam family: 5.8S ribosomal RNA (bases 214-367)
Source: RNAcentral